GGAUUAAGGCAGAGUGUGACGGAGCACGCCGCGUGAGUGAUGAAGGUGUUUCGGAUCGUAAAGCUCUGUUGUUAGGGAAGAACAAGUACCGUACGAAUAGGGCGGUACCUUGACGGUACCUAACCAGAAAGCCACGGCUAACUACGUGCCAGCAGCCGCGGUAAUACGUAGGUGGCAAGCUUGUCCGGAAUUAUUGGGCGUAAAGGGCUCGCAGGCGGUUUCUUAAGUCUGAUGUGAAAGCCCCCGGCUCAACCGGGGAGGGUCAUUGGAAACUGGGGAACUUGAGUGCAGAAGAGGAGAGUGGAAUUCCACGUGUAGCUGGUGAAAUGCGUAGAGAUGUGGAGGAACACCAGUGGCGAAGGCGAGUCUCUGGUCUGUAACUGACGCUGAGGAGCGAAAGCGUGGGGAGCGUUCAGGAUUAGAUACCCUGGUAGUCCACGCCGUAAACGAUGAGUGCUAAGUGUUAGGGGGUUUCCGCCCCUUAGUGCUGCAGCUAACGCAUUAAG
RNAcentral lists this ribosomal RNA (506 nucleotides) under Bacillus subtilis. Its description in RNAcentral is "bacterial SSU rRNA". It matches the Rfam family "Bacterial small subunit ribosomal RNA", at positions 368 to 864 of the family's 1533-position model. The record is from RNAcentral. Lineage: Bacteria; Bacillati; Bacillota; Bacilli; Caryophanales; Bacillaceae.